Molecule: ribosomal RNA, 501 nt
Filed under: uncultured bacterium
Lineage: Bacteria
Description: bacterial SSU rRNA
Rfam family: Bacterial small subunit ribosomal RNA
Source: RNAcentral
CGUACGAGGAUGCCUGUUGAAAUUACUGCUGCAGCAAAUGGAUAUAGAUCACAUCCUAGUGGCGAAAGGGUGAGUAACACGUAGGUAAUCUACCUCAGAGACUGGAAUAACUAUUGGAAACGAUAGCUAAUGCCGGAUGAUAUAUAGAAUGAUACGUUGUUCUAUAGUAAAAGGAGCCUUUAAAGCUUCACUUUGAGAUGAGCCUGCGACGUAUUAGCUAGUUGGUGAGGUAAAGGCUUACCAAGGCGACGAUGCGUAGCCGACCUGAGAGGGUGAUCGGCCACACUGGGACUGAGACACGGCCCAGACUCCUACGGGAGACAGCAGUUAGGGAUAUUCGUCAAUGGGGGAAACCCUGAACGAGCAAUGCCGCGUGAGUGAUGACAGUUUCCUAUGGAUUGUAAAACUCUGUUGUUAGGGACGAACGACCUGUAUAGGAAAUGAUACAGGAGUGACUGUACCUUUCAAGAAAGCUCCGGCUAACUACGUGCCAGCAGCAGC